UAGUUGGCAGGGUAAAAGCCUACCAAGGCAGAGAUCGGUAGCCGGCCUGAGAGGGCACACGGCCACACUGGCACUGAAACACGGGCCAGACUCCUACGGGAGGCAGCAGUGGGGAAUCUUGCACAAUGGGGGCAACCCUGAUGCAGCGACGCCGCGUGAGCGAUGAAGCCCUUCGGGGUGUAAAGCUCUUUCGUCAGGGAAGAUAAUGACGGUACCUGGAGAAGCAGCUGCGGCUAACUACGUGCCAGCAGCCGCGGUAAUACGUAGGCAGCGAGCGUUGUUCGGAGUUACUGGGCGUAAAGGGUGUGUAGGCGGUUCUUUAAGUUUGGUGUGAAAUCUCCCGGCUCAACCGGGAGGGUGCGCCGAAUACUGAGGGACUAGAGUACGGGAGAGGAAAGUGGAAUUCCUGGUGUAGCGGUGAAAUGCGUAGAUAUCAGGAGGAACACCGGUGGUGUAGACGGCUUUCUGGACCGUAACUGACGCUGAGACACGAAAGCGUGGGUAGCAAACAGGAUUAGAUACCCUGGUAGUCCACGCCCUAAACGAUGCAUAUUUGGUGUGGGUCAUUCAGUUGAUCCGUGCCGGAGCUAACGCGUUAAAUAUGCCGCCUGGGGAGUACAGUCGCAAGGCUGAAACUCAAAGGAAUUGACG
RNAcentral lists this ribosomal RNA (651 nucleotides) under uncultured Acidobacteriota bacterium. RNAcentral's name for it is "SSU rRNA". It matches the Rfam family "Bacterial small subunit ribosomal RNA", at positions 246 to 915 of the family's 1533-position model. The record is from RNAcentral. Lineage: Bacteria; Pseudomonadati; Acidobacteriota.